This 2016-nucleotide ribosomal RNA is filed under the name Triticum aestivum (bread wheat). RNAcentral describes it as "partial small subunit ribosomal RNA". The record is from RNAcentral. Lineage: Eukaryota; Viridiplantae; Streptophyta; Magnoliopsida; Poales; Poaceae.
AUGUCGUCCCUUGUACGCCUUAUCCUGACAAUCUCCUUGGGCCUAAACCUCGCAGCCUUGAUCACCACCGCCAACGACCAAUUCAUCUACUCCGGAUUCAGUGGUUCCAACCUCGCCGUCGACGACACCGCCACCAUCACGCCGGACGGGCUCCUGGAGCUGACAAACGGCACGGCGUACCAGAAAGGCCACGCGUUCCACCCGGCCCCGUUCCGCCUCCGCGACUCCACGGCCAACGGCGUCGGCGAUGGCAAGGUGCGGUCCUUCUCCGUCGCCUUCGUGUUCGGCAUCGUCUCCGCCUACCCCGACUUCAGCGCCCACGGCAUGGCCUUCGUCAUCGCCCCGCGGAGGAACUUCUCCGAUGCUCUUCCUGCCAAGUAUCUGGGCCUUACCAACGUCCAGAACGAUGGCAACGCCAGCAACAGCAUCUUCGCCGUGGAGCUGGACACCAUCCAGAGCGUGGAGUUCAAGGACAUCAACGCCAACCACGUCGGCAUCGACAUCAACGGCCUGCAGUCCCUACGGUCAUACAACGCCGGCUACUACGAUGACGAGAGCGGCGACUUCCGAGGCAUGAAGCUCAUCAGCCGCGAGGCCAUGCAAGUGUGGAUUGAUUACCACGGGGAGAGGAAGGAGAUCAACGUGACACUGGCUCCCUUCGACAUGGCCAAGCCUGCUAGGCCACUCCUCUCGGCCAGCUACGACCUCUCCACGGUGCUCACUGAGCUGGUGUAUCUCGGGUUCUCAGCGGCGACCGGUCGUGUCAACUCGCGGCAUUUCGUUCUCGGUUGGAGCUUGGGCGUGAGCAGACAAGCUCCGGCCAUCGACAUGGCCAAGCUGCCCAAGUUGCCUCGGGUUGGCCCCAAGCCUCGGUCCAAGGUCCUGGACAUCGUUCUACCAAUAGUUACGGCCACAUUUGUACUUGGUUUGGGUGGUAUCCUUGUCCUGGUCAUGCGGAGGAGAUCAAGGUACGCUGAACUGCGGGAAGAUUGGGAGGUUGAGUUCGGACCACACCGCUUCUUGUACAAGGAUUUAUUCCGUGCAACUGACGGAUUCAAGGACAAGCAUCUACUUGGCGCAGGGGGGUUUGGAAGGGUAUACAGAGGCGUGCUUGAGACAUCUAAACUGGAGGUUGCGGUGAAGAGGGUGUCUCACGAGUCAAGACAGGGGAUGAGGGAGUUCAUAGCUGAGAUUACAAGCAUCGGCCGCAUCCGACAUCGUAAUCUUGUAGAGUUGCUCGGUUACUGCCGUCGAAAAGGUGAACUUCUUUUGGUGUACGCCUACAUGCCCAACGGAAGCCUGGAUAAACAUCUAUACAACACUAGAGAGGAUCAGCCUACUCUGAAUUGGGCUUUGAGGUUUCAGACCGUCAAAGAUGUCGCGUCCGGCUUGCUUUAUCUGCAUGAGAGGUGGGAGAAAGUUGUCAUCCACAGAGACAUCAAGGCCAGCAACGUGCUCCUCGACAAAGACAUGAACGCCCAGCUUGGUGACUUUGGGCUAGCAAGGCUGUACGACCAUGGGGCAGACUCGCAAACCACGCACGUGGUCGGCACCAUGGGUUACUUGGCUCCGGAGCUCAUACGCACGGGCAGGGCGUCCCCUCUGACCGAUAUGUUCGCCUUUGGCAUAUUCCUUCUUGAGGUUGCAUGCGGACAGAAACCCAUCAAGGAGAAUGCGCAAGGCGGACAGAUAGCGCUCGUCGACUGGGUGCUGGAGCACUGGCGUGAUGGUACGCUCAUGGAGACGGUGGACGCGAGGCUCCAGGGUGAGUUCGACAUCGACCAGGCAGGGCUGGUGCUCACGCUAGCGCUCAUGUGCUCACACCUUCUCGCUAGCGCGAGGCCUGGCAUUGGACAAGUCAUGCGCUAUCUGACCGGUGUUACGCCCCUCCCUGAGCUCACACCAACAGAUGUGCUCACCUUGAUGCAAAACAAGGGGUUUGACGAAUCCGCCAUGUCAUAUCCGGAUCUGGUGUCGAGCUUUGGCACAAUUUCCACCCUCUCGGGAGGAAGAUAA